GGAUUAGGCAUGCAAGUCGAACGUGAAGCCGUUGAUCAAUCUUUCGAGAGAGUGAUGCGGUGGAAAGUGGCGGAAGGGUGAGUAACGCGUGGGCAAUCUGCCCCUGAGUUGGGGACAACGUCUGGAAACGGACGCUAAUACCGAAUGUGGUUGUUUAACUCCUGUUAAGCACACUAAAGGUGGGGAUUCUUCGGAACCUGCCGCUCUGGGAGGAGCCCGCGUGCCAUCAGCUUGUUGGUAAGGUAACGGCUUACCAAGGCUUACGGCUAGCCGGCCUGAGAGGGUGAUCGGCCACACUGGGACUGAGACACUGCCCAGACUCCUAUGGGAGGCUGCAGUCGAGGAUCAUUCGCAAUGCCCGAAAGG
Molecule: ribosomal RNA, 366 nt
Filed under: uncultured Verrucomicrobiota bacterium
Lineage: Bacteria; Pseudomonadati; Verrucomicrobiota
Description: bacterial SSU rRNA
Rfam family: Bacterial small subunit ribosomal RNA
Source: RNAcentral